AUUGAACGCUGGCGGCAUGCCUUACACAUGCAAGUCGAACGGCAGCACGGAGCUUGCUCCUGGUGGCGAGUGGCGAACGGGUGAGUAAUGCAUCGGACCGUACCCGGAAGUGGGGGAUAACGUAGCGAAAGUUACGCUAAUACCGCAUAUUCUGUGAGCAGGAAAGAGGGGGAUCGCAAGAACUCUCGCUUUCGGAGCGGCCGAUGUCGGAUUAGCUAGUUGGUGGGGUAAAGGCCUACCAAGGCGACGAUCCGUAGCGGGUCUGAGAGGAUGAUCCGCCACACUGGAGCUGAGACACGGUCCAGACUCCUACGGGAGGCAGCAGUGGGGAAUUUUGGACAAUGGGCGAAAGCCUGAUCCAGCCAUGCCGCGUGAGUGAAGAAGGCCUUCGGGUUGUAAAGCUCUUUCGGCUGAAAAGAAAUCGCACAGGCUAAUACCCUGUGUGGAUGACGGUAUCAGCAUAAGAAGCACCGGCUAACUACGUGCCAGCAGCCGCAGUAA
RNAcentral lists this ribosomal RNA (501 nucleotides) under uncultured bacterium. Its description in RNAcentral is "partial 16S ribosomal RNA". It matches the Rfam family "Bacterial small subunit ribosomal RNA", at positions 30 to 523 of the family's 1533-position model. The record is from RNAcentral.